GGUACCUGUACUCGUUGCGGUGCAACGAUGGUCAAAGA
Molecule: regulatory RNA element, 38 nt
Organism: Desulfuromonas acetoxidans DSM 684
Lineage: Bacteria; Pseudomonadati; Thermodesulfobacteriota; Desulfuromonadia; Desulfuromonadales; Desulfuromonadaceae
Rfam family: Selenocysteine insertion sequence 4
Source: Rfam